Molecule: ribosomal RNA, 357 nt
Filed under: Triticum aestivum (bread wheat)
Lineage: Eukaryota; Viridiplantae; Streptophyta; Magnoliopsida; Poales; Poaceae
Description: partial small subunit ribosomal RNA
Source: RNAcentral
AUGUGGGAGGACUCCACCCUCCUCAGGCUGCGCCGCCCUACGUCCCUCACCUCGAUUGAAGCUGCCCGCUUCCUCCAGCCGCUCGCCGAUGGGGAUCUGCCGGCCGCCCGGCCCCGCGCCGCCACAGUCCAGGAAGGAGAUAUCGCCGUGCGGGCGCUUCUUGAGCUCGGGAGAGGCACAGGAGAAGGAAGAGGCAAAAGGGAGAUCAUCUACAUUAAUCUCCUGUCAAUUAUUGGAAAUCCCAAGUACUUCACGAGCAAACCACCUAUGGAGAAGGAUGGUAGAAGUGAGUUCAAAAGGGAGAUCAUCCACACCACUUGCAGAUCAGCAGGAGGAGAACAAUCAGUAGAGCGAUAG